AUGAACAUGGUUGCUCAAAUCAUCGGGGACAAAGUGGGAGACAUGGUGGAGGGCGCGGUGAAAAAGACUCUGGGUAUUGAGGAAAAGGAGAAGAAAGGAGGAGUCAAGUCUUGGUUUGGGGGUGACAAAGAAAAGGAGAAGGGAAAAGGAGGAAUCUUUUCCUCUGGGCAUGACGAAAAGAAAAAGGGUGGAGAUGAACAAAAAGGAGGAGGAUUCUUCUCAAAGGUCUUUCACAGAGAUGACGAAGAUGAAAAGGACAACAAGCAGAAGAAAUCUGGAUUUCAAGGCCUGUUUGCUGAAGGCACAGAAGGAGGUGCUACGGGAGGAGGAGAUGCUAUGGGAGAAGACGCUAUGGGAGGAAGUGAUGUGGAUGGUGGAAGUGAAGGACAAACUUUAGCUGUGACUGACAGAGAUCUGUUUGAUGAUUUGAUUGAUGUGGCAAGCGAAACAUCUAAGGAAAACUAA
RNAcentral lists this long non-coding RNA (465 nucleotides) under Nothobranchius furzeri (turquoise killifish). RNAcentral describes it as "lncRNA (ENSNFUG00015014152.1)". Lineage: Eukaryota; Metazoa; Chordata; Actinopteri; Cyprinodontiformes; Nothobranchiidae. The record is from RNAcentral.